CUCGUCGUGAGUGUGAGUUAAAUUCUUUCUUCCCCAUCAGAGCAGAAUCUGACUCUUUUUAAAUCUCAUCUGUUAACGAUGAUUGGUCCUUCUGCCUUAGUGUUUGUAAAAACAUUAACUCGGCUGACCGCAUGCAGCUAGGUGGGGAGCCGCAUAGGCAGCACGCUGUGGGUGCAGAGAGACCUGGAAGGCCAGCAGAGAUGUAAUGUGCUCAUUAUUUAAGGCUCACUAAUAAUCGCAGGAGUUCUGUCUGGGUUGCCAGUUUUUAGAUUUGUGUGUUGAAACAUCUUGAACAAAAUGUUAGCGAGAGCAUUUCUGCAGCAUCCUGCUGACUGAAUUCAAGGUGCUGCCGUGUUUGCCAUCUGCCUGCGAGCUCACAGUGGUAAUUAUAGUGAGUCUUCCAAGUGCUGGAACGAGAGGUUUUGUGAGUCAGCAACCUGAUGGAGGUGACAGACACAAGCCUCUGCCCAGUGGUGCUGCAUGGAGUGACAUGUGGCUUCAGGACAACCUUCUGGAAGGUGCCAGGAGCCUCUGUUGAACAUUCAGUGCCCUCAGAAUCCUGUUGGUAUGAGUGGGAACUGAAAACUUCUGGUACUGAAGAGGAGGGCUUUAACUCUGAGGUGCUGCAGACAAGAAAAUGCAUUCCUGUUCCAGAACCUCCAGGUGUACAUAAGGAAAGAAACUGGACAGAGCAGAUGGGCAAAGCAAGUAUCAGCAUGCACACCUUUUCACAGGGAGUAUGUAAUCGCCAGCAUUUCACCUGUGCAGAAUCAGACAGAACUUUCUCAUUGCAUCCAACAGUGCUCUCUGCUGGUUAUGGGAUCAAGAUGCCUUGGCUGGCGUUCGCCCCACAUAACUGUGAGAGCAGAAAAUAA
RNAcentral lists this long non-coding RNA (875 nucleotides) under Coturnix japonica (Japanese quail). RNAcentral describes it as "lncRNA (ENSCJPG00005014760.1)". Lineage: Eukaryota; Metazoa; Chordata; Aves; Galliformes; Phasianidae. The record is from RNAcentral.